Molecule: microRNA precursor, 96 nt
Filed under: Paramuricea clavata
Lineage: Eukaryota; Metazoa; Cnidaria; Anthozoa; Malacalcyonacea; Plexauridae
Source: RNAcentral
AUAUAUAGAAAGACACAAAAACUUAGCAAGCUUUGUUUGGCAUAUUUAUAAAUAUGCCAAACAAAGCUUGCUAAGUUUUUGUGUCUUUCUAUUAUG